RNAcentral lists this non-coding RNA (149 nucleotides) under Oceanibaculum indicum. Its description in RNAcentral is "FMN sequence". It matches the Rfam family "FMN riboswitch aptamer (RFN element)". Rfam says of the family: The RFN element is a highly conserved domain that is found frequently in the 5'-untranslated regions of prokaryotic mRNAs that encode for flavin mononucleotide (FMN) biosynthesis and transport proteins. This element is a metabolite-dependent riboswitch that directly binds FMN in the absence of proteins. In Bacillus subtilis, the riboswitch most likely controls gene expression by causing premature transcription termination within the 5' untranslated region of the ribDEAHT operon and precluding access to the ribosome-binding site of ypaA mRNA. RNAcentral also lists the same sequence under 1 other name. Lineage: Bacteria; Pseudomonadati; Pseudomonadota; Alphaproteobacteria; Rhodospirillales; Oceanibaculaceae. The record is from RNAcentral.
UGACGUUCUCAGGGCGGGGUGAAACUCCCCACCGGCGGUAAGCAGGCUGGUCCUGCAAAGCCCGCGAGCGCCCGACCGCAAGGCCGGGGUCAGCAGAUCCGGUGAGAUGCCGGAGCCGACGGUUAAAGUCCGGAUGGAAGAGAACGGGC